RNAcentral lists this ribosomal RNA (486 nucleotides) under Veillonella sp. oral taxon 158. RNAcentral's name for it is "bacterial SSU rRNA". It matches the Rfam family "Bacterial small subunit ribosomal RNA", at positions 28 to 485 of the family's 1533-position model. Lineage: Bacteria; Bacillati; Bacillota; Negativicutes; Veillonellales; Veillonellaceae. The record is from RNAcentral.
GACGAACGCUGGCGGCGUGCUUAACACAUGCAAGUCGAACGAAGAGCGAUGGAAGCUUGCUUCUAUCAAUCUUAGUGGCGAACGGGUGAGUAACGCGUAAUCAACCUGCCCUUCAGAGGGGGACAACAGUUGGAAACGACUGCUAAUACCGCAUACGAUCCAACCUCGGCAUCGAGGAUGGAUGAAAGGUGGCCUCUAUUUAUAAGCUAUCACUGAAGGAGGGGAUUGCGUCUGAUUAGCUAGUUGGAGGGGUAACGGCCCACCAAGGCAAUGAUCAGUAGCCGGUCUGAGAGGAUGAACGGCCACAUUGGGACUGAGACACGGCCCAGACUCCUACGGGAGGCAGCAGUGGGGAAUCUUCCGCAAUGGACGAAAGUCUGACGGAGCAACGCCGCGUGAGUGAUGACGGCCUUCGGGUUGUAAAGCUCUGUUAAUCGGGACGAAAGGUCCUCUUGCGAAUAGUUAGAGGAAUGACGUACCGGAAUA